Molecule: long non-coding RNA, 4917 nt
Filed under: Sus scrofa (pig)
Lineage: Eukaryota; Metazoa; Chordata; Mammalia; Artiodactyla; Suidae
Description: lncRNA (ENSSSCG00065056689.1)
Source: RNAcentral
UAUGCUUGUUUCUUUUUUAAUAACAGCCAAAAGAAACUGUUGCAGAUUGUGGAACCAAGAAGUGGAGUAUAGAUGUAACAAAUACCUAAAUACGUAGAUGUGGUUUUAGAAUUAGGUAAUGGUUAAAGGCUGGAAGGACUUGGAGAAGCAUGGUAGAAAAUGUCUGGAUUGCUUUUGAAAAGAUUGUUGGUGCUAAAGUCAAUUCUGGUGAAGACUUAGAUGAGAAUAAGGAGCAUGGUAGAGAGUGUGUAAUUCCUUAGAGAAAAAUAUAUAUUGUCAUAAAUAGAAUAUUGGAUGUUAAAUGUACUUCUAGAGAUGGCCCAGAAAGAAAUGAUGAACAAGUAAUUGGAAAUCUAAGGAAAGACAAUCCCUAGAAACAUUGUGCCUAGAAACAUGGUUGAAUUAUUUUUUCUUGUUAUACGGAAAGCAGAUUUUUUUAAAUGGUGGACUUUCAUAUUUUGCUAAGGUGAUUUCCAAACAAAAGCUUUGAUAGUGGUAUCCUUUUCCUGUUUGUAGUAGAAAGGUAAGAUGGAAAAGAUAAAUUGAGGAAGGAACUGUUAAGCAAAAAACAAUCAUCAGUUGGUGAAUUGAGAAUUUCUCAGCCUGUCCAAAUUGCAAAACAAACAAAAACUGUUAAGUUUGAAGGUUCACUGUUGAGACAGUGUGCUCUGGAGAUAGAGCCAAGAGUAUGUCUGGACAACUUUAUGCUGAAAGUUUAUGAAUUAUGGCUCAAUUCAAAGACUUUAAUGAAAUUAAGAACAGAGAUAGGGUUAUCCAAGAAAGAUGUGUUAAAGACCUUCUUGUCUAAUGAUCUGGAUUACCAUGACAUACACAGAAGACCUACAGGGUCAUUGAGACUGUUAUACCAGCAGGAAUAAGGCCAGCUUGUUUUGGAAGCAGCUGGUUAGGAAGAUAUGAUAGAAAACUGUUAGAGUUCCAAAAUUCUGUAGAUAAGCAACAGGAAUGUACAGCUACUUAGCAGCAAACGUGUGAUUCCUCAAGGAAAAGGAAGAACAAUAUUGAAAUCGAGACAAAUGGAGUCUCAGGCCCAAACAGUGGAGACACAUGCCCAGACAGUGGAGCUAUGAGUAUCAAAUAAUUAUGCUAAGGCCUUGAAACAUAAGAAAAUGUGUCUUGCUAGAUUUUAAAUUUGCUUGGACUGGUGACUUUUUAAAACAUUAUUACUUACAACUUCUCCUUUUUGGAAUGAAAAUGUCUAUCCUAUGAUAGUGCCCCCUUGGUAUUUUGGAAGCAGAUAACUUUUUUUUCCAUUUUGACAAUUCCACAAAUGGAGAGCAAUUUUGUCUCAAGGUGGAUCAUUCCCAGAGUCUAUCCUAUAUCUGACAUAAGAGUUAAAUGAGUGAUAAUAUGUUAACUUUUAAGCUCAUCAUAUGUAGAUGAUAUUAAGGACAUGGAAUUUAUGUUGUAAUAGGUUUAGACUAGGGAAAUUAGAGACAUGUUGAAUCUACUUUGUAUAUAGGAUACACAUGAAUUUUUAGACUUUUUUGAGCCAAAGACAAAAAGAUAGAGAAAAGAGAAGAUGGAAAUGUAACCACCGAGGUGAAGAUAGGAGUGAUGUGACCAUUUUCCAAGGAAGCCAAGGUUUAUAAAUGGGUACCAAGAGCUGUAAGGGUCAAAGGAUGGAAUUAUAUCUGCAGUGUCCAGAGGCAGUGAGUCCUUGGACUUCUGCCUUCCAAAAUUGCUAGAAAAUAAAUUGUUUUUCUUUUAAAGCACCAAGUUUGUGUUAAUUUGUUAUUACAGGGAAGUAAUGCUCUCUCUUAAAAUCUUGCACAUUUACUCUCAUAUAGGUUUCUGCUUCUUUGAAGGCAUGGGCUAACACAACUGAGAAAGAACAUUUUGUUAUCUGAAGCUGAUAAUCAAUAUUUUUAUUUAAGAUACAUUUAAUAUAAGAUGUUUAUGGAGUUCCUACUGUGGUACAGUGGGUUAAGAAUCCAAGUGCAGUGGCUUGGGUUGCUGCAGAGGUGUAGGUUCAAUCCCUGAUCCAGCACAGUGAGUUAAAGGAUCUGGCCACAACUGUGGUAUAGGUUGAAGCUACAGCUCAGAUUCAGUCCCUGGUCUGGGAACUCUUCCAUAUGCUGCAGGUGCAGCCAUAAAAUAAACAUACAAACCAAACAAACAAACGAACAAACAAAUAUUUAAAUGGGAAAUCAUGUAGGAAGUUUGAUGCACGAGUCUAAAGGUCUGUGGAGACACCAAUCACAGAAAACUAAAUAUAGGAACACUGACACAUUGAUGAUAUUUAAAGAUAUGAACUGUUUGAGGUACCCUAUUAAAAUGGUGUAAAUAAAUAGGAUGAGACUGGUGAGCCUUGCCCUGGAGUACCGUAGCAUUUUAGCAAGAGGAAAAUGAACUAGUGAAAGAGACCAAGAAGGAAAACGUAGUAAAGUCUUAGGGUUUGUCUUCUGGACAGUGACUAACUCCCUUCUCAUCUUUAACAUCAUCCCGUAGCACCUAACUUAGCCUUACUUCAUUUCUAUCCUCCGCUUUCUCCUGGAUUUAUCUUCACAAAAGUUAAGACUGGUUUGUAAUGAUGAUGAUUAGUUUAUAUAUUUCUGUAGGAUUUCCUUAAACUGAAAUAGUUACUGCUGUUUUUCUCUAAAAAAAAAAAAAAAUCUUUUGAAAUAUUUCAUAAAGGAGCUGUAUCAAAAUAUCAUUGGAACCAAAAUACCAUAUCAAUAUAGUUAUAAAAAUGAUAUUUUCCUAAUCAUUGUACAAAGGGAGAAUGAGCACAUAGGAGAGGUGCUGGAGAGAUCUGCAUUAGAAAGUAAUAAGUGCUCUGGAAAUCUAGUUAGAUCAAAUUUCUCCAGUUACUCUCACUUGCUGCCACACAUUCUAAAGUAUCUCCACCAGCUUUCAUGUUGUUAGAUGACUUCAUCUCAUCUCUCUCAAUUGCCUUAUUUUCUCCCUGGGUCAAAGGGGCAUUGCAAAAAAUAAUUAUCAUUUUUCACUCAUCUCCCACAUGAAUACAAACAUUUGUAUAUUAGAGUCUGUUGGUUGCUCCCAACACUCAAUAUUCAUGCUCCUCUGCUUCAGUCAGGGCAUUUGGUCACCUAGAAGAAAGGCAAAAUCCCUCAGCUUCCCUUGUAGCUGGGUGUGGCUUUGUUACUAAAUUAUAACUGAUGGAAAACAAGUAGAAUUACCACAUGGCAAAUUCCACAAAUAUUCUCUGAAAGAGUAAAUAUAAAGACCAUUUCACCCUUCAUCCUUUCCCAGUGGUUGAGAUGCAGACGUAAUGUUAACCUUAUAAGUAAAACCACAGUAGAGGAGCAACAAGAUUAAAAGGAACUAUGUUCCUUGGGAAACAGGCAUUCAACCAGUUUACAAGCCUGUACUACCUCCUCAAGACCAUUUAAGUGAGAUUGUGCAUUUCAUUUAUACCAUUUUAAAGAGAUGUCUUUGACGUUCACAUAUGAAGCUAAUCUUGACUGAUACAGUUAUUUAUUUAUUUAUUUAUUUUUAAUUUGGAACUAGGUUGCUGGAAGUAAGAGAAUACGUGUCAUUGGCUUGAUGGAAAUUGUCCAGCAGCAGAUGGCAAGGACUCUCAUUAUGAACUUAUAAUGCAAUAGUAAAAUACGGUAAAAAUCCUAUUUCCCUCAGAAGGCAGAUCAGGUGCAAGUGGAGUUGUAUGAUAAUAAGUUACAAGAAAUUGCUCUGGGCUGGUAUAUGUUUCUUCAAAAUGUGUAUGUUGAAGUACCUCAUUCUGGUACCUCAGAAUGUAAGGGUAUGUGGAGGUUAAAUUACUUCCAUGGGUAAUUAAUUAAAAAUAAUGUCAUUAGAGUAGAGCCUCUUCCAAUAUGCCUUGUGUCCUUACAACAGAAGAUUAAGAAAUAGACUCAAAACAGAGGAAUGACCAUGUGAAGACAGCUAUCUCUAAGGGAAAGAGAAAUGUCUCGUAAGAAAUCAGCCCAGCUGAUAACUUGAUCUUGGAAACAAAUUUAUGUUGUUUAAGCCACCCAGGCUGUGGGAUGAAUGACCUAGCAAACUAACACAGAGGUAAUCACAGCAUAUCAUAUGUUAAAUAUUCUUGCCACUAGCAGGAAAAUCUGAAAAGAAAGAGUAAAUUAGCAUAUGCGGAAACCCUUGCUAAGAGAGAUGAGAAGAAUGAAGAGGAGCGUAGCUCUGUCAAGGAAGACCUCUGAAGACAGUAGACACUUAAUUAUUAACAGCAGUCCAGUGAUGGGGCAUAUUUCUGGGUUGAAAAGCCAACUGCUUCUUUAUUGUACAGGGAAGCAGCUCCCAAGGUAAAGCAUUAGCAAAAGAUAAAGCUGUGACUCUGAUCUUUUUCCAGUGCCUGUCAUUAUGAGUUAGCCAAGCUAAGGAAAGCAGCCUGGGUAAAACAUCUGAUGUGGAUUCCUGUCUCACCCCACACUCCGCCCCUCACCUUUUAAAGGAUUUCUGGUUAUUUAGCACAAAACCAGGAGAGAUGAGGUUGUGACUAGAACCCAAAUCAUGUAAGUGUUCAGACUUAAAAUUUCAUCUGGUAAGGAGAUCAAUGUAAGGCAAUCCUCUCUUGAUUGCUUGGUGCUACCACUUAGUCUAGACUCAGAAGCAACAGAAAUUUGCAUCUUAAAAUGACAGAACAUGUCUCCUUUUCUUUUCCCCCAAUACCAUCUGCUCUUUGCAGUCUAAAGUUGGUAGAUACAUGGAGCCUUUUUACACCUUUGACCAGAGACACCUGUUCCUGUUCAAAGGAUAAUAAAGCCUUUCUUAUCUCUCCAGAAGCCAAGGUUUACAUUCCUGGUUGUAAAAUUGCUCCUUCUUUCGCAGGAGGAUAUGUGUUUACACUCCAGAAUAAAAGAUAAGCUCUUUCUCUUAACGCCAGAGGGGAGCAGGAAAUGCAUCUGCACCUAUAUAAGCUUCAUGAUUCAUCAUUUCAGAGUCCCUGUCCUGUCGUGC